AUUGAACGCUGGCGGCAGGCCUAACACAUGCAAGUCGAGCGGAUGAAGGGAGCUUGCUCCUGGAUUCAGCGGCGGACGGGUGAGUAAUGCCUAGGAAUCUGCCUGGUAGUGGGGGAUAACGUCCGGAAACGGGCGCUAAUACCGCAUACGUCCUGCGGGAGAAAGUGGGGGAUCUUCGGACAUCACGCUAUCAGAUGAGCCUAGGUCGGAUUAGCUAGUUGGUGGGGUAAAGGCCUACUAAGGCGACGAUCCGUAACUGGUCUGAGAGGAUGGUCAGUCACACUGGAACUGAGACACGGUCCAGACUACUACGGGAGGCAGCAGUGGGGAAUAUUGGACAAUGGGCGAAAGCCUGAUCCAGCCAUGCCGCGUGUGUGAAGAAGGUCUUCGGAUUGUAAAGCACUUUAAGUUGGGAGGAAGGGCAGUAAGUUAAUACCUUGCUGUUUUGACGUUACCAACAGAAUAAGCACCGGCUAACUUCGUG
Molecule: ribosomal RNA, 484 nt
Filed under: uncultured bacterium
Lineage: Bacteria
Description: partial 16S ribosomal RNA
Rfam family: Bacterial small subunit ribosomal RNA
Source: RNAcentral